RNAcentral lists this ribosomal RNA (507 nucleotides) under uncultured bacterium. RNAcentral describes it as "partial 16S ribosomal RNA". It matches the Rfam family "Bacterial small subunit ribosomal RNA", at positions 30 to 523 of the family's 1533-position model. The record is from RNAcentral.
AUUGAACGCUGGCGGCAUGCCUUACACAUGCAAGUCGAACGGCAGCGGGGGAGAAGCUUGCUUUUCCUGCCGGCGAGUGGCGAACGGGUGAGUAAUACAUCGGAACGUGCCCUGUAGUGGGGAUAACUAGUCGAAAGAUUAGCUAAUACCGCAUACGACCUGAGGGUGAAAGUGGGGGACCGCAAGGCCUCAUGCUAUAGGAGCGGCCGAUGUCUGAUUAGCUAGUUGGUAGGGUAAAGGCCUACCAAGGCGACGAUCAGUAGCUGGUCUGGGAGGACAAUCGGCCACACUGGGACUGAGACACGGCCCAGACUCCUACGGGAGGCAGCAGUGGGGAAUUUUGGACAAUGGGCGAAAGCCUGAUCCAGCAAUGCCGCGUGUGUGAAGAAGGCCUUCGGGUUGUAAAGCACUUUUGUCCGGAAAGAAAUGGCUCUGGUUAAUACCUGGGGUCGAUGACGGUACCGGAAGAAUAAGGACCGGCUAACUACGUGCCAGCAGCCGCCGUAA